GGUGAACCUGCGGAAGGAUCAUAGUAACCGUCUUUUUGACGCACUCUGUCCCCGUCCACCGGACGAUAAGCCGCUCUGGCAGAGGAUAAAUUGCCGCUGGUGUUGCCUCUUUGUGGGCACACGUUAAAGAUCGCUCCGCCUCGUGAGUCUCUGUGACGUUGUAAACUCUACAACCGGUAGCAUUGGAUCCCUUGGCACGUCGUUCGAUGAAGACCGUUGCAAAUUGCGAUAAAGUGAUGUGAUGCGCAAGUCCACCACUUAUACGUGAAUCAUCGAGUUGUUGAACGCACUGCACCGCGCCCUAAACCGGCUGCGGUAUGCCCCUUUGAGCGUCAUUGCUUUUGUUCGUGAGCCCCCCUCUUGACGAGAGGCUCCGAGUUCGGAGUCCCCGGUCCCCUGGGAUCGUGUUCUCUCAGAUCCAGCGCGUCGACUGUCCCGGCAGGCCCUCUCAUGCUUGAGUGUGGAGGUCUGCUCUCGGAGACAUUGCGCUCGACAGGUGGCGCUGAGUGCCCCUGCCAGCAAGGCCACCGUGGCCUACAGUUCAUGACCUCAUUGGGGUAGGACAACCCGCUAGACUUAAGCAUAUUAAUCAGCGGAGGAAAAGAAACUAACCAGGAUCCCUCA
Molecule: ribosomal RNA, 624 nt
Filed under: Tulasnellaceae sp. 6 MB-2012
Lineage: Eukaryota; Fungi; Basidiomycota; Agaricomycetes; Cantharellales; Tulasnellaceae
Description: eukaryotic LSU rRNA
Rfam family: 5.8S ribosomal RNA (bases 172-335)
Source: RNAcentral